UACGGAGGGUGCAAGCGUUAUCCGGAAUCACUGGGUUUAAAGGGUGCGUAGGCGGUUUUGUAAGUCAGUCGUGAAAUCUUGACGCUUAACGUUGAAAUUGCGAUUGAUACUGUGAGACUUGAAUCAGGUUGAGGCAGGCGGAAUGUGGCAUGUAGCGGUGAAAUGCAUAGAUAUGCCAUAGAACACCGAUUGCGAAGGCAGCUUGCUGGGCUUAGAUUGACGCUGAGGCACGAAAGCGUGGGGAGCAAACAGG
RNAcentral lists this ribosomal RNA (253 nucleotides) under uncultured bacterium. RNAcentral's name for it is "partial 16S ribosomal RNA". It matches the Rfam family "Bacterial small subunit ribosomal RNA", at positions 524 to 776 of the family's 1533-position model. The record is from RNAcentral.